AAGAAAUUAGUUAAAUAAUAACAUUAAAAUGUCAAAUUAAAAUUACCAUAAAGGUAUUUCUUG
Molecule: transfer RNA, 63 nt
Filed under: Coptotettix longtanensis
Lineage: Eukaryota; Metazoa; Arthropoda; Insecta; Orthoptera; Tetrigidae
Also listed under: 1 other name
Description: tRNA-Asp
Source: RNAcentral